Lathyrus oleraceus (garden pea) is the source of this 103-nucleotide small nucleolar RNA. The record is from RefSeq and is a predicted model, not a curated record. NCBI's taxonomy places the organism in Eukaryota, Viridiplantae, Streptophyta, Magnoliopsida, Fabales, Fabaceae.
GAGUAAUGAGGACAUAAUCUUAACAUUUCUUAAAUCUCUCACAUGCUUCGUAGAGCGAUUCCUCAUCAUUUUGAUUAAAAUUGGUAAUUUAAUUUAUUAGUUG